GUAACUCAGUGGUAAAGUGCUUGCCUAGCAUGCAGGAGCUCCUGGGUUUAAUCCCCAGC
RNAcentral lists this transfer RNA (59 nucleotides) under Ictidomys tridecemlineatus (thirteen-lined ground squirrel). Its description in RNAcentral is "Spermophilus tridecemlineatus (thirteen-lined ground squirrel) tRNA". It matches the Rfam family "tRNA", at positions 7 to 64 of the family's 71-position model. Rfam says of the family: Transfer RNA (tRNA) molecules are approximately 80 nucleotides in length. Their secondary structure includes four short double-helical elements and three loops (D, anti-codon, and T loops). The record is from Rfam by way of RNAcentral. RNAcentral also lists the same sequence under 1 other name. Lineage: Eukaryota; Metazoa; Chordata; Mammalia; Rodentia; Sciuridae.